Molecule: ribosomal RNA, 377 nt
Filed under: uncultured bacterium
Lineage: Bacteria
Description: bacterial SSU rRNA
Rfam family: Bacterial small subunit ribosomal RNA
Source: RNAcentral
UAUUAGACAAUGGGCGAAAGCCUGAUCCAGCAAUGCCGCGUGAGUGAUGAAGGCCUUCGGGUCGUAAAGCUCUCUUACCAGGGAUGAUAAUGACAGUACCUGGAGAAUAAGCUCCGGCUAACUCCGUGCCAGCAGCCGCGGUAAUACGGAGGGAGCUAGCGUUGUUCGGAAUUACUGGGCGUAAAGAGUACGUAGGCGGUUAUUCAAGUCAGAGGUGAAAGCCCGGGGCUCAACCCCGGAACUGCCUUUGAAACUAGAUAACUAGAGUCUUGGAGAGGUUAGUGGAAUUCCGAGUGUAGAGGUGAAAUUCGUAGAUAUUCGGAAGAACACCAGUGGCGAAGGCGACUAACUGGACAAGUACUGACGCUGAGUACGAA